CUUGUCAAAGGAAAAUACUCCUGAGCUGAAGUUAGCAAGCGACGCGGCUGCUAACUCACACGAGCCAAUGUUUCCGCUCUCUGUUACACAGACCUGGACGCUUGCAGUUGCCUAACACACUUUUGGUGAAGACUGUGUGCUGCUGAUUGUUAUGCUAGCUCCAGAAUAAAAAACAAGCCAGAGUGAGAGCCAGCCCUGUGUGGCAGUGCCAUCCUUCCUCACCACAGACAUAAGGGGACACCUCCACCAUCGCUCAACAGAUACACGCUUACACAUACACAAGAGUACAAGGCCCUACGGGAAAAGUCCCACGAGUCUGCGGUGUUGACGUCACCUGUUCAUUACGCCAACUGUUGUCCAACAGACGGACCUGUUUCUAUGCCACCAAACAAAAGCCUCGUCUCUGUCUCCUGGCAAAAUUAAACUUUCAGGCCCCUCAGGAGAGAAACUAUUCAUUAGCGAGUGACUCACUCACAUCUCUAAGUGUGUUCACAUUAACCCAGAGCUCCGUUCUGUUUGUCUUAAUCCUUUUGAAAAAAAAAAAGAACUGGAGUGUGAUACAGUCUUUACUCGACUCACCAGUCAAGUCAAAACAUCGAGUCACUCAAAUGUC
Non-coding RNA from Plectropomus leopardus (leopard coralgrouper), 613 nucleotides. Lineage: Eukaryota; Metazoa; Chordata; Actinopteri; Perciformes; Serranidae. The record is from RefSeq and is a predicted model, not a curated record.